Molecule: ribosomal RNA, 461 nt
Filed under: uncultured bacterium
Lineage: Bacteria
Description: bacterial SSU rRNA
Rfam family: Bacterial small subunit ribosomal RNA
Source: RNAcentral
AGUACAGACGAGUUUGAUCCUGGCUCAGAAUGAACGCUGGCGGCAGGCCUAAAACAUGCAAGUCGAACGCUGUAGCAAUACAGAGUGGCGCACGGGUGAGUAACAUGUGGGAAUAUGCCUAUUGGUACGGAACAACGUUUGGAAACGAACGCUAAUACCGUAUGGUCCCUUCGGGGUAAAGAUUUAUCGCCAAUAGAUUAGCCCGCACUAGAUUAGCUAGUUGGUGAGGUAAGAGCUCACCAAGGCGACGAUCUAUAGCUGGUCUGAGAGGACGAUCAGCCACACUGGGACUGAGACACGGCCCAGACUCCUACGGGAGGCAGCAGUUAGGAAUAUUGGACAAUGGGCGCAAGCCUGAUCCAGCCAUGCCGCGUGAGUGAUGAAGGCCUUCGGGUUGUAAAACUCUUUAGCCGAUGAAUAUAAUGACUGUAGUCGGAAAAUAAGCCCCGGCUAACUUCGUG